Molecule: ribosomal RNA, 442 nt
Filed under: uncultured Tissierella sp.
Lineage: Bacteria; Bacillati; Bacillota; Tissierellia; Tissierellales; Tissierellaceae
Description: bacterial SSU rRNA
Rfam family: Bacterial small subunit ribosomal RNA
Source: RNAcentral
UCCUACGGGUGGCAGCAGUGGGGGAUAUUGCACAAUGGAGGAAACUCUGAUGCAGCGACGCCGCGUGAGUGAAGAAGGCCUUCGGGUCGCAAAGCUCUGUCCUAGGGGAAGAUAAUGACGGUACCCUAGGAGGAAGCCCCGGCUAACUACGUGCCAGCAGCCGCGGUAAUACGUAGGGGGCGAGCGUUGUCCGGAAUUACUGGGCGUAAAGAGUUCGUAGGCGGUCUGAUAAGUCAGAUGUGAAAGGCGUAGGCUUAACCUAUGUAAGCAUAUGAAACUGUCAGACUUGAGGUAAGGAGAGGAAAGUGGAAUUCCUAGUGUAGCGGUGAAAUGCGUAGAUAUUAGGAGGAAUACCAGUGGCGAAGGCGACUUUCUGGACUUAAACUGACGCUGAGGAACGAAAGCGUGGGGAGCAAACAGGAUUAGAUACCCCUGUAGUCCA